UCAGGCCUAACACAUGCAAGUCGAGCGGGGUUUUCGGACAUAGCGGCGGACGGGUGAGUAAUGCGUAGGAAGCUACCCGACAGAGGGGGAUACCAGUUGGAAACGACUGUUAAUACCGCAUAAUGUCUACGGACCAAAGUGUGGGACCUUCGGGCCACAUGCUGUCGGAUGCGCCUACGUGGGAUUAGCUAGUUGGUGAGGUAAUGGCUCACCAAGGCGACGAUCCCUAGCUGGUUUGAGAGGAUGAUCAGCCACACUGGAACUGAGACACGGUCCAGACUCCUACGGGAGGCAGCAGUGGGGAAUAUUGGACAAUGGGCGCAAGCCUGAUUCAAAAGUGCCGCGUGUGUGAAGAAGGCCUUCGGGU
RNAcentral lists this ribosomal RNA (367 nucleotides) under uncultured bacterium. RNAcentral's name for it is "bacterial SSU rRNA". It matches the Rfam family "Bacterial small subunit ribosomal RNA", at positions 42 to 423 of the family's 1533-position model. The record is from RNAcentral.